UUAAGUACAGUAUCAAUAUAUUUUGAUAAUUCUUUUUUUUAGUUAUAGCUACUAAAAUAGCAGUUUCAAAAAAGUAGCAGUAGUUUCAGAAAAGUAGCAAUUUCAGCAUCUUUUUAAACUAUUUCUUAAAUUGUUUUUUCUGUUUGGUUUUUAACAACGCUAAAAUAUUACUUAAAAUGCAUAAAUUUUCUCUAAAAGUUUUAGAGGAAAAUUAUGCAUUUUAAGUCGUAGCUACUUUUUAAAUAACUAAAUAAAAUUAUUAUUUUUUGUUUAUUUUAAGACCUAACAUCUAUUUGUUUAUGAUAGAUGUUAUAUUGAUCGAAUAGCAAUGUUAUAUUUAUACUUUUAGUGCAGUCAGUGCCAAUUAAAAAUUGUGAGGUUGAAAUAUUUAUAUAAUGGAUCUUCAGUUUUAGUGAAGGCUUUUAAUGUAAACUAAAAAAUAUUUUUAAAAAUUUAAGUAGUAUUCAUACUCCUAUAUGAUAACCACUAAAGAGAAAAUAAAUUUACUUAUGUCUGAUAUGAUUAUUAUAUUGUAUCAUUUAUUUUCUCUUUAGUAGAAAAGUUAACAUAUUUUGAACAAUAAUAUAUAUAGCUAUAUUACAUAAUUUUAUGAAAUCCGCAUAAAUAUAUUUUUUAUUGUUAAGUUUUGUGUGUUUAAUUUCAUUUAAUAUUUUAUAUACAGUCCAGUCAGUUGCAACAACAAUUAAAGCAGCAGGAAACAGCCAAGUACACAUGCAAGUGAUUGUUAUGAGGAUUGCAAAACUUUUAAAUAUCAGAAACUGAAGAAAGCAUUCAUAAUCAGCAGAUAUCAAAAAAGCGCAAAAGUACUGAUUUUACAACUCUUUUAAAGUUGAGGAAGAAUUUUAUGUUAAUGUUAAUGCAAAAGGUACGAAUAUUGACAGAUUAUGGAUGUGGUACUGCAAGUAUAUUCAAUUGAUUAUGCAAGUAAGUUGUCCUACUUUACAUCUUUGAAGACUAAUAAUAAUUGUAAUGAACAUAUCUCAGACAAUAUACACUCGGAUUUAUAUUUUAGUUAAACCAUCACCACUUCCACAGCCACCUUGUCUCAAGCAUUAAAUCGCAUUCUAAGAUAUCUUUAUUCAAAUUAAGUGUGACUACUUUACCAAAAGACUCUAGAAUGGACCAAUCAA
This is a long non-coding RNA of Hydra vulgaris (swiftwater hydra), 1151 nucleotides long. RefSeq lists it as uncharacterized. The record is from RefSeq and is a predicted model, not a curated record. Lineage: Eukaryota; Metazoa; Cnidaria; Hydrozoa; Anthoathecata; Hydridae.